GAAAUGCGAUAAGUAAUGUGAAUUGCAGAAUUUCAGUGAAUCAUCGAAUCUUUGAACGCACCUUGCGCUCCUUGGUAUUCCGAGGAGCAUGCCUGUUUGAGUGUCAUGAACGCCAUCAACCCUCCCUCCUUUUCUUCCUUCAUGGGAAAGGGGAGGGGGAGGUUUGGACUUUGGGAGCCUGCUGGGCCGCCUUCGGGGCGGGUCGGCUCUCCUGGAAUGCAUUAGCGGCGGACCCUUGCUGGGGAGAAGCGGCUCGCGGUGUAAUACUUGUUUUGUUCACCUCGUCGCCCGCCUUCGUCCUCUGGGGCCUUCUCGACGCUUCUAAAAAACCGACCCCUUGACCAUCUGGCCUCAAAUCAGGCAGGACUACCCGCUGAACUUAA
This 383-nucleotide unclassified non-coding RNA is filed under the name uncultured Tubulicrinis. RNAcentral's name for it is "sequence contains ITS1". The stretch from base 1 to 106 matches the Rfam family "5.8S ribosomal RNA", at positions 50 to 154 of the family's 154-position model. Lineage: Eukaryota; Fungi; Basidiomycota; Agaricomycetes; Corticiales; Corticiaceae. The record is from RNAcentral.